CACUCUAACCCAUUUAGAAUUUCAAAAUGAAGCCUGAACUAGACAAUAACCUCAAUCUAAAAUAUAUAUUGUGUGCCUGGUGAUGGUUUUAUACUGGGUUUGUACUACUUGAGAAAUAUGGAAGAGUGCAUGAAGCGUUUUCUCUUCUUUGCCGUUACAAAGGGCCAUGUCUCUGGUGUGUACACUAGCUGGGAGUAGGCCAAUGAACAAGUUUUAAACUUCAUCCAUCCAGAAUUUUAUUGUUUCAAUAGCUAUGAACAAGCCACAUUAUGCUUUAAAGCUAGAAUGUAUAUGAUUUCCUCAGAGAAAUCUGCGACGUUUGAACUGAGUGGAAACUCACGCAAAGCAUCUAGUCAAAAGCUUCCAUUGUUAUGCGGUGGACCACGUAGGCGUCCUGUUGUGACAUGCUUCCGGUAAUUCCCAGGGAGGAGUUGAAUGGUGACUUUGCCAUUGUCAGUGACAUGGAAGAGUGGCUGUUGAAGACCUGCUACGAGGCUAGAAUUCCUGGUCCUUGUUUCUUCAAACAGGACCGUUUUUUGAGAGAUGACGAUCCAUACUUCAGGUUCACUGUGGUUGUUCCCGGUGACCCAUUUGAGAUUCCACUUUCUAUUAAGGGGCGGUUUUCUUUAAAUGAGAAGGCUGCAUGAGAGGAUGCUGCACUGAAGAUGCUAGACCGCGUGGUUGAGUUAUCUGGAAAGGAUAUCCGCGACUUUAAUUACUCAAAGGUGAAACUUCUUAAUGACUCAAACUCUGCACUUCGUGCUAAGGUUGGUCAGUUGGAGGAUGCUUACGAGAAAUUCAUGGCUAGCUAUGAAUCUCUUCUAAACGUCCACAUUGAAAGACAAUCACCUUGAGACCGUUUCGAAAUUUAGUUAGUGUUGAUAAUGUUUUUAUGUUUUGUUUAAGAAUGUUUUGUUAUUUCAUAAUCGGUUGUUGUUUUAGUAUGUUAAUUUAAGUGGUGUAUGUUUAAAGUAAAUAUCCCUGUGUUUUUGGUC
This is a non-coding RNA of Arachis ipaensis, 995 nucleotides long. The record is from RefSeq and is a predicted model, not a curated record. NCBI's taxonomy places the organism in Eukaryota, Viridiplantae, Streptophyta, Magnoliopsida, Fabales, Fabaceae.